UCAUGGAUACAUUAAGUUGUUAAUUGAGACAAAAACAGCCCAAUUGUUACUUUUGUUACAUAAAGAUUUGCGUCUUCAUGCAUUUGAGAAAUGUAAAUUUAUGAUAAAACAAUGGUAACCUUUGCCAUAUGUUUUUCUAGCAAAAUUAAAAGUUUGGCUAUCUUUGUCACUGAUUGUUAAAAGUUAAAUCGUAAACUCCAUAAGAAAAUGACUUCAUGAUUUACGUUCAUCAUCGUGAUAAACAAUUUAAACGUUGAGAUGGAAAACUCCAAACCAUGUGUUACUGUACGAACAGGAAAGCUAACAAAGCUAGAGAAUGUUUUGCAAUUUAGGAAGAAAGAAAACAAACGAUAAUGAUGCACAUGAAAAGAUAUUUAAAGACACGUUUUUAACAUGAAAUAGAAAAUCGAUGUCAGAGAUUGUUAACGUUUAAACAGUUUUACUUUCUAGGAUCCCAAUGAAUUUUACGAAAUUUCCUUAAAAAGAAUAAGUGACGAAUUAGAUUCAUUUCAAAUCAGUAAAGAAAAAUUUCAGUCACUUUUAAAUACAUUAGCUGUUGCUAAAGAACCUCUUCCUUGGGAAUUAGUUAAGGAUAUAAAUAAAAAUAAGUCAAGUAGUCUGGUUACUAGUUCGAGUAGAUUUGGUUCUGCUGGUGUAAUGGUUUGUGCUGGUAAAGAUAUUUUCAUGGUUUCUGCAGUCUUUAGUGGUGAAGGUCUCUGCGAUCCUUGUUCUUUUGUCGUUUCUGGAAAGUGGUUUUGGGGGCCAUGGAUUGCUGCUUAUUGUGAUUCUUUAAAUCUGUAAACUUUGGUGUGAUGUGGAUCGCGUUGCAGAACUUUGAUGAUGAUGAUCCCAAUUUUAAUCCAUUUUGUGGGAGGUGGCCCUGUUUGGUUUUUAUAUCUAAUACUCUGUGCUUUUUCCUGUGUUUUUGGAGCUUUAUGGAAGGACAAUUACAAGUGGAAAAUCAAUUGGAUCUCCACGUUUUCCAGCAUGUUGUCUAGUUAUAGCCAACCGAAACUAAGUAGGACAGCUGGUGCAGUUUCUGGAAGUUGUAUGAAGGAGCGUAGUGCAGAAUGCAAGUUUAAAAUACUUCGAGAUGAUCUCAUCUGUGACAUUAUCAUAUGUGGACUUAAUGAUAACCGUCUUCGUGAACGUCUUCUUCGAGAUCCAGAAUAAACAAUACAGAAAACUAUACAAAUGGACAUGCUGCUGAGAAAACAACGGGACAAACGAAGGAACUUAAAAAGGAAAUUAAAAGGCAAAGAAUAUAUUGACAGUAUACA
Long non-coding RNA from Xenia sp. Carnegie-2017, 1280 nucleotides. RefSeq lists it as uncharacterized. The transcript is spliced from 5 exons. NCBI's taxonomy places the organism in Eukaryota, Metazoa, Cnidaria, Anthozoa, Malacalcyonacea, Xeniidae. The record is from RefSeq and is a predicted model, not a curated record.